CCAACACUAUCACCAGCACCAACAGCAGUUCCAGCACCAGCAACAGAAGACCCAUCACCAGCUCCAGAUCCAUCAUCAGCAUCAGCAACAGAGGCCCUGGGCCACUCUGUCAUUCCAAAAGGACUUGUGGAGCGCUGCUCCUUCCAAAGCCCCCAGAAGUUCAUAAAUGAUCUCCUACAUGGGAUGUAUACCAGGGAAUAUGUGGCAGGCCAUUCAGUGACUGGCCAGUCAUCCAGCAGCUGCACAGAAGGAAAACCUGGCCUAGCCAAACAGGACCUUGUUGAAAUAACAAAUGCUGCAAAGUUGAAGUUCACCUACGUAACUGAUACGAACAUAAAAGCAUUUAUACGACAAAAGCUGAACAAUGCUGCCAAAUUUCAGAAACAAUAAAUUAUCAACUGUUUAAAGAAAGUUAAA
This is a long non-coding RNA of Gadus morhua (Atlantic cod), 417 nucleotides long. RefSeq lists it as uncharacterized. NCBI's taxonomy places the organism in Eukaryota, Metazoa, Chordata, Actinopteri, Gadiformes, Gadidae. The transcript has 3 exons. The record is from RefSeq and is a predicted model, not a curated record.